AUUGAACGCUGGCGGCAGGCCUAACACAUGCAAGUCGAGCGGAUGAAGGGAGCUUGCUCCUGGAUUCAGCGGCGGACGGGUGAGUAAUGCCUAGGAAUCUGCCUGGUAGUGGGGGAUAACGUCCGGAAACGGGCGCUAAUACCGCAUACGUCCUGAGGGAGAAAGUGGGGGAUCUUCGGACCUCACGCUAUCAGAUGAGCCUAGGUCGGAUUAGCUAGUUGGUGGGGUAAAGGCCUACCAAGGCGACGAUCCGUAACUGGUCUGAGAGGAUGAUCAGUCACACUGGAACUGAGACACGGUCCAGACUCCUACGGUAGGCAGCGGUGGAGAAUAUUAGACGAGGGGCGAGAGGCUGAUCCAGCCAUGCCGCGUGUGUGAAGAAGGUCUUCGGAUUGUAAAGCACUUUAAGUUGGGAGGAAGGACAGUAAGUUAAUACCUUGCUGUUUUGACGUUACCAACAGAAUAAGCACCGGCUAACUUCGUG
Molecule: ribosomal RNA, 484 nt
Filed under: uncultured bacterium
Lineage: Bacteria
Description: partial 16S ribosomal RNA
Rfam family: Bacterial small subunit ribosomal RNA
Source: RNAcentral